This 85-nucleotide transfer RNA is filed under the name Felis catus (domestic cat). It matches the Rfam family "tRNA". Rfam says of the family: Transfer RNA (tRNA) molecules are approximately 80 nucleotides in length. Their secondary structure includes four short double-helical elements and three loops (D, anti-codon, and T loops). The record is from Rfam by way of RNAcentral. Lineage: Eukaryota; Metazoa; Chordata; Mammalia; Carnivora; Felidae.
ACCUGGGUGGCUCAGUCGGUUAAGUGUCCGACUUCGGCUCAGGUCAUGAUCUCACGGUUUGUGGGUUCGAGUCCCACCUCGGGCU